ACUGUGUGUGGGGAGAGAGGAACACUCAACCUUCGUCUCUCCCGAGCCCGUACGGGAGUUGUAGCCAUGAGACAAGAUAGUAGCUACUAAACAAUUGGACAAUUGGAUACCAUGAAAUUGGGGAGAAAAAUAAAUAAAACAUUCCAAGAAUUACAUAAAGAUCAGCGGCAAACAUACGAUGCACAGAAGUUUAACCAGCCAUGCAAUGGAGAGUAGAAUUCAUGUCGGCUCUCCGGGAACACAGAGUAAAAGGGCAAACUGUAAAAAAAACAUUGUCCGGGGGGACUCUCAAGUAGAGGUCGACCGAUUAAUCGGAAUGGCCGAUUAAUUAGGGCCGAAUUCAAGUUUUCAUAACAAUCGGUAAUCGGCAUUUUUGGACACCGAUCAUGGCCGAUUACAUUGCACUCCACGAGGAGACUGCGUGGCAGGCUGACUACCUGUUAUGUGAGUGCAGCAAGGAGCCAAGGCACUAACUCUGCCGUGAUUCGUUUGACAAAGCCUAUGGGGAAGUGAAUGCCGUUUUUGGAUAAAUCUCGAAAAUAAGGAAUGGCUGAACGAACUAGAGGUAACUCAUUUCCGGAUUUAAUGACUACAAGCUAUAUGGGAUUUGUUUCCACAAAUGCUACAACGUUAGCAUUUGGAAACAGUGCCAGGGAAACUAAACCAAAAGCAUGGUCUGCUGUAGACUGCUAACAGGGGAGCGUUGGGACGGUAACAGAGGUCGCUAGUUCAAAUCCCCGAGCUGACAAGUUUCACUCUACGAAGUGUGUGGGACAGAAUGCCUGGCCGGCUCUACAACACCUGUAGUUGAGCCUGUCUACCAGUGAAAAUCAGAUAAUGAGCUCACCCCAGUACCUACUGCACUCAGGCCGGUACCUACUGCACUCACUACUCCUCGGCCGGCAGUCUCCUCUCCCUCUGAGGAACAAGGGACGAGGCGAGAAAAAGGUCUGGAGGAGCCCAGGACAGUGUGUGUGUGUGUGUGUGUUUACUCACCGUCAUAAUUGACUAUGAUGAUGGCGAGCAUGUAAUCCUUCCCCAGCAUGCUGAUAGGUGUUCCUUCCUUCCUGGCCAACCUGGCUUAGCUGCACCACAUUCCCGUACCAAAAUGUCCUGAUGUCGCCAGGACAACUCUUCCCCGCACACACUCGUUACAACUGCACACAGCGCCAAGCGUCAAAGGACACACUCACAUGCCAAGAGGAUUCCAAAUCUAUUUCUUUCUCUGUCUGACUCUCUGUGCAAGCCCCGUCCCGGGAACUCUCGGGAGUCUUCUCCGUCCGUCUUGCUGAUCUCUUUCUCUCUCUAUCCUGCGUCUCUAUCUCUUUAUCUGUGCUGGAGGGAUGCUGUUUAUUUUACUGCUGCUGCCUUUCGUUUCGCUCUCUUUGUACUGCGCUCAGCGGUGCCUGCAGCUUCCGCCACUCCCCCUCCUCCUUCUCCCCACCCCUUAACCUCUCUUUCUCCCCCUGCCUCUCUGGUUGUCCCCUGUCUCUCGGUGCCUUAAAAGGACUGCUGAGGCCGAGAAAAGGCACUAUGCAGACCAGCAAACAGACCCAAAAAGCAUGCUUUUUCUAGAAGAAAUACAUUACUACAGUUAUAUGGAGACCAACAAGAGGGCAAUAAUACAAAAAUGAAAACUAACGUGCUUUCUCGAGGGUGAGUGCGACUGGUGUAGUCUAUCGAGUAUUUGUGUAGUGAGGGAGUCGUAAUAGGGUUCAAUUCAACUUGAGAUGGGAUGCCUCUCUGUGUAAAAGGGGUGUCUCAGGAAGAUUAGAGAUAACAAUCUGCCCCUCGCAAAGAACCUGCAUCUGCCAAGCCCUACUCUUAAAAAUAUAUGAGAAGGGACACUUUGAGAGUGCUUUUCAUAGCAACGCUAGCAACAUCACAGAAUACAGGAUGAUUUCCUGUGCAUCAGUACGCUGUGGUGUUUUACAGGGAGGAAGUGUGUUCUAUAGGCAGGAAGUGUGUUCUAUAGGCAGGAAGGGUGUUCUAUAGGCAGGCUUCCUUAAAGGCAACGUCUGUGGCUGCAGCUUUUCUAAACCCAUCUCUUUUCCCUAGAUGCAAUGUUGUAGUGUGGUUGUGUGCAGCUCAGUUGGUUUGAUUCCCACAGGGGACCCGUAUGAAAAUGUAUCCACUCACUAUUGUAAAUUGCUCUGGAUAAGAGUGUCUGCUAAACUAUGUAAAAUAAUCUGUCAGUUAAACUAUCCUUAUCACAGUACAACCAGAGGUUUCAACCGAGCAAAACGUUAGAGGCAAUGUAAGAUAGAGAGCCUAUGACUGCAUCUGUCAUAUGGCCAGUACAAUCCAUAGACAAUCUACCUUCAAGCUGCAUAUUCAUGAAUCAAAUGGCCAUACCUGUUGUAUUCAGCGCAUGUGACAAAUACAAUUUGAUUUGACAUAGCCUAAUAAUGUGUCCUCUUGAGCAUUCUUAUAUGGAAAUAUCUUGGAAAACAUGACUGCCACUGGCAUCACAUGGUCUGUAGUUCCAUCGUGUACUUUAUUUCUAUGGUCCACCUUAAUCAGCAUCCAUGUCUUGACGGAUCACACUGCCCGUCAUCGUUCAGUCUGCUUGCAUCAUCCUCUUCUCACCUCCACUCAAUGUGUGUAUAUAUGAAGCCUCCACCCGGUUCGCGUGUGGAAUUUACAACCCCUCUUGAUGUACAAAGCUCCUCUGAUGACAUCAGGCAGAGCCAUGUAUUUGUGCAAACUCUUAGAAUUGUGAAUAUUGUUGUACUUCUUGAUAUUCAGUUUCAUAGCAUUAUGCAAAUGUUCCCCAUAUAAUCCCCCCAAAAGGCUGUCCGAUUACAAUGACUAAUUGUUUCAAAUCAGUUCACUUUACUUGCGAAUACUGCAAGCUAACUUUACGCAUGCCGUGUCCUGUAACUGUACUGGCCUCAAUUCCAAUUCUAAUCAUGUAAUAAAUAAAUAAUAACGCUAGUAGCUAGAUUUUAAAAUGAAUUGAUAUUGCCACAUUGUAAUGAAUGCAUAUAACAGCGAUGUAGUCCAGAAAGUAAACUGAGUAAAAAACAGUCAGCACACCACACAUGACUUUUAGUCACACAUAUUUUAGCAGGGAAGAAAAUCGAGCCCAGUCAAUAAUCAGUACCACCAGCAUUGAUUCAAGACAUGGCGGACGACAAGCUAAAGGAUCUGUCAGAGCUCAAGGACCAGCUAGAGGACAUUCAGCGCCGCGUGGAGAAGGAAGUACAGGCUGGGAUCCCACAGGGUGGCAGUGUGCUGGCCUCUCCUUUCCUCAAGGGCUUCUUGGCAGGAUAUGUUGUGUCUAGGCUGCGAUCCUCUGCGGUUUUGGGCGUGGUCCUUGGGACUUGCACAGGCAUCUUUGCAGCUCAAAACUUUGGCGUGCCCAACAUCGAGGAAACUCUGAAAGACUAUUUCAACACUCUUAAAGGACCCAGCAAGUAGCGGCCCUGGUUUUAGGGGGGGGGAUAUGGAGGGGGAAAUAUGGGGGGGUGGGGAUAUGGAUCUCUGAACCCCUGCCCCCUCAAAAAGAUCCAUUGGACUACCCCACCUCCAAGCCCUCUAUUUUAGAUUGCAGAAUGUUCUGAACUGAGAAAAAAUGAAAUGAUCUGUGUUUGUUAGGAGACAUUUUGGGGGAAACGAUAUAUUCCUUGAAUUACGCAUUAAGUGUCUUUACAAUCAUCUCUUGCAAUGUGUGCAAUAGUCCUGCAGGGACUUUAGUGUAUGUUUUUAUAUUACCUGAAAAAUAACAUUGUUCCUAUUUUAUGCAAUAGGGAUUUUACUUGUUGAAGUAGGUGCUUUAUAGUGGGAGAUCUUAUUUGCCUCAGGUCAGUUUUCUAUUUCGUCUUGCUCGCAGAUCAACCAUAUAACCUUGUUAUACCCAAAUGAUAUGUAUAACCUGUAGUAUCCAGAUGUGAAACAUGACUAAGAUAAUAUUAUGUUCAUAUAUACAAAUAUGUCCCCAGGUCGAUACCAGGUUCUCAACCUAUUUUGGGACUUUUAGGUCACUGUAAGUCUAUAGUAUUCACACCCCUUGACUUUUUCCACAUGUUGUUGUGUUACAGCCUGAAUUUAAAAUGGAUUACAUUUGGAUCGUUUUGUCACUGGUCUACACACUACUCCCAUAAUGUCAAAGUGAAAUUACGUUUUUAGAAAUGUGUACAAAUUCAUUAAAAAUUAAACGCUGAAAUGUCUUCAGUCAA
Molecule: long non-coding RNA, 4181 nt
Organism: Oncorhynchus kisutch (coho salmon)
Lineage: Eukaryota; Metazoa; Chordata; Actinopteri; Salmoniformes; Salmonidae
Exons: 7
Source: RefSeq, a predicted model, not a curated record